ACUGUGCUAUCCGAGGGAGGGCGGCAUGCUUACCACAUGCAAGUCGAACGGAGCACCCUUGACUGAGGUUUCGGCCAAAUGAUAGGAAUGCUUAGUGGCGGACGGGUGAGUAACGCGUGAGCAACCUGCCUUUCAGAGGGGGACAACAGUUGGAAACGACUGCUAAUACCGCAUGACACAUUGGGAGGGCAUCCUCUUGAUGUCAAAGAUUUAUCGCUGAAAGAUGGGCUCGCGUCUGAUUAGGUAGUUGGUGAGGUAACGGCCCACCAAGCCGACGAUCAGUAGCCGGACUGAGAGGUUGAACGGCCACAUUGGGACUGAGAUACGGCCCAGACUCCUACGGGAGGCAGCAGUGGGGAAUAUUGGGCAAUGGGCGCAAGCCUGACCCAGCAAUGCCGCGUGAAGGAAGAAGGCUUUCGGGUUGUAAACUUCUUUUGUCAGGGAAGAGUAGAAGACGGUACCUGACGAAUAAGCCACGGCUAACUACGUGCCAGCAGCCGCGGUAAUACGUAGGUGGCGAGCGUUGUCCGGAUUUACUGGGUGUAAAGGGCGUGCAGCCGGGAAUGCAAGUCAGAUGUGAAAUCUAUGGGCUCAACCCAUAAAUUGCAUUUGAAACUGUGUUUCUUGAGUGCUGGAGAGGCAGACGGAAUUCCUAGUGUAGCGGUGAAAUGCGUAGAUAUUAGGAGGAACACCAGUGGCGAAGGCGGUCUGCUGGACAGUAACUGACGGUGAGGCGCGAAAGCGUGGGGAGCAAACAGGAUUAGAUACCCUGGUAGUCCACGCUGUAAACGAUGGAUACUAGGUGUGCGGGGACUGACCCCCUGCGUGCCGCAGUUAACACAAUAAGUAUCCCACCUGGGGAGUA
Molecule: ribosomal RNA, 865 nt
Filed under: uncultured human fecal virus
Description: bacterial SSU rRNA
Rfam family: Bacterial small subunit ribosomal RNA
Source: RNAcentral